Molecule: ribosomal RNA, 252 nt
Filed under: uncultured bacterium
Lineage: Bacteria
Description: partial 16S ribosomal RNA
Rfam family: Bacterial small subunit ribosomal RNA
Source: RNAcentral
UACGGAGGGUGCGAGCGUGUCCGGAUUUAUUGGGUUUAAAGGGUGCGUAGGUGGGUUAAUAAGUCAGUGGUGAAAUACGGUUGCUCAACAAUCGAGGUGCCAUUGAUACUGUUAAUCUUGAAACAAGUGGAGGUUGCCGGAAUGGAUGGUGUAGCGGUGAAAUGCAUAGAUAUCAUCCAGAACACCGAUUGCGAAGGCAGGUGACUACGUUUGAUUUGACACUGAGGCACGAAAGCAUGGGGAGCAAACAGG